GAUGAAGAACGCAGCGAAAUGCGAUAAGUAAUGUGAAUUGCAGAAUUCAGUGAAUCAUCGAAUCUUUGAACGCACCUUGCACCCUUUGGCAUUCCGAAGGGUAUGCUCGUUUGAGUGUCAUUGUACUCUCACACUUCCAAUCUUUGGAUUGGGAGCAGUGGACUUGGGUGUUGCUGCUUACUGUGGCUCACCUCAAAUCGAUUCGUGCACCUCUUGGUUGGACAUAGUACGGCGUGAUAAGUGUCUUCGCCGGCACCUCAGUAGAGGGUGGCUGAUCAGGAGCUCUGUGCUUCAAACCGUCCUCGGACAAAAACUGACAACUUGACCUCAAAUCGAGUAGGACUACCCGCUGAACUUAAGCAUAUCAAACGGAGGA
RNAcentral lists this unclassified non-coding RNA (376 nucleotides) under soil metagenome. Its description in RNAcentral is "partial contains 5.8S ribosomal RNA, internal transcribed spacer 2, and large subunit ribosomal RNA". The stretch from base 1 to 120 matches the Rfam family "5.8S ribosomal RNA", at positions 35 to 154 of the family's 154-position model. The record is from RNAcentral.